AAGUGCUUCUGCUCACUGCUGCAACACUGAUGACUGCAACUCACAAAAUCUAUCUUACCCCAUUAAUCUACCAAAUACUGCCCUCCAGUGUAUUGUUUGUGAUUCCACCACUUCUCAGUGCAACACUACAAUAACAUGUUCAGAAGAAGAGACUAACUGCCUCACAGCAACUUUGAGUGAUGGCACAAACACAAUUCUAAUACUGGGCUGUGCAACCCCAAACACAUGUGCAGCUGCUUCAAGUUUGGUUAAUUUACCGUUCAUGCAGAAUGUUGGCUCAGUCAUCAGCGGACCGACCUGCUGUUCAACAAGUUUGUGCAAUUAUCCAACAGCAAGAACUACACCGACCUCUACAACCUCUCCAAACCCCACAACUACACUAACCCCAACAACUACACCGACCCCAACAACUACACUGACCCCGCACAACUACACUAAUCCCAACAACUACACCUACCCCCACAAUUACACUGACCCCAACAACACCAACCCCGACAACUACACACACCCCCACAACCCCAACCCCCACAACUACACCACGACCAACAUAACUACACCAACCCCUAAAACCCCGACCCCCACAACUGCACCGACCCCUAUGACACCUUAAAAUACACCAACUCCUAUAACACCAACUACACCGACCCCAUGACUCCAACCCCCACAACUACACCGACCCCUGCAACCAGUGAUGCAUCUAGCUUCAGACAUGGCCUUUGCCAUCUUCUGCUUGGAUUCUUUAUCUUUAUCAUUUAACUGGUUUAAGAUAGAGCAGAGGUGUCACAUCUAAAACAAAUUUAGAAGAUAAUGCAAACACUUUCUGUUUCUGAGUAUUUUGAAUGGAGAAAAAUGAAAAGGAGGGUGUAGCUUUAACUUACAUAUAUGUGACUAUUGAAUUAAAUUUUUUUCUAGUAUCUCUAACAGCAAAGAAUAUGAUAUAAUUUAUUAAUAAUAUAUUCUUACAAUUGUCUCAUAUAAAAUGGACCUUAAUAAAUCUUAAUGAACGGGAAUACGAUUUAUUGGGCAUUUCAAAUAUUUAUGCACCGUUUCAAAUUUAAACCUCUGUGGCUGAAAAUGUUCUUUCCCAUUAUUUAUAUGAAAUUGUAUGCUACUUACUUCAGUUUUGGGGUUCCUCAGGGGUUCUGCUCUAAUUAUAUAUAAUCCUACAAAAUGGGAUAAUUAGACCAGUUUAAAACUAUCACAACCAACACCAGCUAAUUUUUCAUGGGCAUAAGCAAUCGGAAUUAAGGGCUGAUCAGAAUAAAAAUGCAUCAUGUAAACACACUGGUUGGAACAUUGUGGUCACAUUGAGCUCAAUCAGAAUAAAAUUGUUUUCCAAAUGAGAUGGUUUAUGCAGAUAAUUAAUCAGAUCACAUUCAUAUAAACACUUUACGAUCAUGUCAUUUGAAUUGUGGCAAACUGUCUUGAAUGCACAUGUGUGUCUCUCAUCCUGUACUGUAGGAAGUCGACACUUAAAAGUCAAAUUAAUCCUCAUUUGUUCUUGUCUUGAGAAUAAUUUUCUGUUUUAAC
This is a long non-coding RNA of Fundulus heteroclitus (mummichog), 1530 nucleotides long. RefSeq lists it as uncharacterized. The record is from RefSeq and is a predicted model, not a curated record. The transcript has 3 exons. Lineage: Eukaryota; Metazoa; Chordata; Actinopteri; Cyprinodontiformes; Fundulidae.